Molecule: small nuclear RNA, 107 nt
Organism: Chlorocebus sabaeus (green monkey)
Lineage: Eukaryota; Metazoa; Chordata; Mammalia; Primates; Cercopithecidae
Source: Rfam
GUGCUUGCUUUGGCAGCACAUAUACUAAAACUGAAACAAUGCAGAGAUUAGCAUGGCCCUUGUACAAGCAUGACAUACAAAUAUUUAGUGAAUCAUUCAUAGUUUUA